GACGUUACCUACAGAAGAAGCACCGGCUAACUCCGUGCCAGCAGCCGCGGUAAUACGGAGGGUGCGAGCGUUAAUCGGAAUUACUGGGCGUAAAAGCGCAUGCAGGCGGCCUGUUAAGUCAGAUGUGAAAAGCCCGGGCUUAAACCUCGGAAAUUGCAUUUGAAAAACUGGCAGGCUAGAGUCUUGUAGAGGGGGUAGAAUUUCAGGUGUAGCGGUGAAAAUGCGUAGAGAUCUGAAAGGGAAAUUAACCCAAGUGGCGAAGGCGGCCCCCUGGACAAAGACUGACGCUCAGAUGCGAAAGCGUGGGGAGCAAACAGGAUUAGAUACCCUGGUAG
This 335-nucleotide ribosomal RNA is filed under the name uncultured bacterium. Its description in RNAcentral is "bacterial SSU rRNA". It matches the Rfam family "Bacterial small subunit ribosomal RNA", at positions 471 to 793 of the family's 1533-position model. The record is from RNAcentral.